GGGGUCCUACGGGGGGCAGCAGUGAGGAAUAUUGGUCAAUGGGCGAGAGCCUGAACCAGCCAAGUCGCGUGAGCGAAGAAGUAUUUCGGUAUGUAAAGCUCUAUCAGCAGGGAAGAAAAUGACGGUACCUGACUAAGAGGCCCCGGCUAAAUACGUGCCAGCAGCCGCGGUAAUACGUAUGGGGCAAGCGUUAUCCGGAUUUACUGGGUGUAAAGGGAGCGCAGGCGGCUUGGCAAGUCUGAUGUGAAAGGCUGGGGCUCAACCCCAG
Molecule: ribosomal RNA, 268 nt
Filed under: uncultured bacterium
Lineage: Bacteria
Description: partial 16S ribosomal RNA
Rfam family: Bacterial small subunit ribosomal RNA
Source: RNAcentral